CACGGGGGGAGCAAGCGUUGUUCGGAUUCAUUGGGCGUAAAGGGCUCGUAGGUGGCUUUGUAAGUCGGAGGUGAAAUCCCACGGCUCAACCGUGGACACGCCUUCGAAACUGUGAAGCUUGAGGCUGGGAGAGGAGAUCGGAAUUCCUGGUGUAGCGGUGAAAUGCGUAGAUAUCAGGAGGAACACCGGCGGUGUAGACGGCUUUCUGGACCGUAGCUGACGCUGAGACACGAAAGCGUGGGUAGCAAACAGG
Molecule: ribosomal RNA, 253 nt
Filed under: uncultured bacterium
Lineage: Bacteria
Description: partial 16S ribosomal RNA
Rfam family: Bacterial small subunit ribosomal RNA
Source: RNAcentral